Molecule: non-coding RNA, 69 nt
Organism: Podarcis lilfordi (Lilford's wall lizard)
Lineage: Eukaryota; Metazoa; Chordata; Lepidosauria; Squamata; Lacertidae
Source: the annotation of a GenBank genome assembly
GCUGUGGCUCAGUCACAGAGAAUCUGCCUUGUGUGCACGAGGUCCCAGGUUCAAUCCCUGCCAUCUGCA